ACCGGUUACUGCAAGCCGCCGAGACUGAGACUACUCAGAUCUCAAACCAGUGCGCACAGAGAAAGCGGAGCCCUUUGUUCGCAUUUUCUUGCGGAUUCGAUCUUCUGGGAGUCUUCUAUUCAUCAGGUGAGCUUCGAAACAUCUCUUAUUUUAAUGAGAAUUCUUCCUUUCCUGUUUUACCUUUUUCAUCUGGGCCUUUACAGUUAUUAGGGUUUUCUACUCUAUCCAUGCCUUCUCAACGUUGAUCAACUUUUUCACUGAAUUGGCCAAAAGCGAGACAGGUUUGAAGUGGGUUGCUAGUUUUUAUAUCAGGGGAAAAAAGGGCCAAUAAUCAGAAAUGGCAGGACUGAAUAAUCCUAAGCAUCUUGAGGACUGCUCGGUUGCCAAGUCAGUUUCUUUUUCCCCCCUUUUCUUCUGUAGAAUUUUUCUUCAUUUAUUUCUUUUUAUGUGUAUUGAGUUCUGGUAUGUAAACCUCUUGUUAGUGUAAGAUUAUAUUCUGACUUCUGCUAUGCUCUUACUAUAGUGUUUUAGGUAUUUGAAACCUUUAUUGCCAUAUUAUGCUGAGUAUAGGAAAUUUGUAAUAAGAUUAUUCUUGGAUGUACAAGCAAAACCUGUUUAUGCUAACAUAUCCGGCAGAUAAUUCUUGUUUCUAAUCCUGAUAGCUUUUCUAGUCCUUUUAAUGCUUGGUUGAUCUUGUGGUUUAUCUUAGUUGAUUGUGUCACUCACAGCUAAUCUAUAGUUGCUUAUAUUUUAGGGUAGGCAAUGUUGAUUAGCAUCUCAAAGUUUAAAGUUUUGCGAGCAAAAUUUGUUACCAUUACCAAUAUCCAAGCCUAUAGAUGAAUAGCUCAAAACUUUGCUACUCUUGCAACUACUGAAUUGAUAUUACAAGGUUUUUAAGGUAGUUGUUUGAACUUUGUUGCUUGCUAUAAAAUUGUGAGCUUUUGGUUAUUUCAAACCAUUUUAUUAUAUAAAGUAAAUUUAGAAUUUUCCAGCUUAUGUAAAAAUGACAAGCCCAAGCGCCCAAUUAAGAGCAAGCAUGGUUCCUGAUUUGAACAUUCAGCAAUUUGGGGAAAAAAUGCACUGCAGCUAGAUUGAGAAGUGGAUAAAAAUUGAUCUCUUUAUAGGAGCAAGGGGA
RNAcentral lists this unclassified non-coding RNA (1135 nucleotides) under Hevea brasiliensis (rubber tree). The record is from RNAcentral. Lineage: Eukaryota; Viridiplantae; Streptophyta; Magnoliopsida; Malpighiales; Euphorbiaceae.